Lolium perenne is the source of this 299-nucleotide non-coding RNA. The record is from RefSeq and is a predicted model, not a curated record. Lineage: Eukaryota; Viridiplantae; Streptophyta; Magnoliopsida; Poales; Poaceae.
GCGGUUCUUGCUGCUUCCUCCCUGGUGCUGCUUCUCUUCUCCUUCCCUCCCGCGCCGGCCAACGGUCUCCUCUCCCCCAAAGGUGUAAACUAUGAAGUGCAAGCCCUCAUGAUGAUCAAGAACUGCCUCAAGGAUCCCCAUGGCGUGCUCAAGAACUGGGACCAGGACUCCGUGGAUCCUUGCAGCUGGACCAUGGUCACCUGCUCACAGGAAAACCUUGUCACUGGCCUAGAAGCUCCGAGCCAGAACCUGUCUGGCCCGCUCUCCCCAAGCAUAGAGAAUUUGACCAAUCUUGUGAU